Molecule: ribosomal RNA, 565 nt
Filed under: uncultured Glomeromycotina
Lineage: Eukaryota; Fungi; Glomeromycota
Description: SSU rRNA
Rfam family: Eukaryotic small subunit ribosomal RNA
Source: RNAcentral
UUGGAGGGCAAGUCUGGUGCCAGCAGCCGCGGUAAUUCCAGUUCCAAUAGCGUAUAUUAAAGUUGCUGCAGUUAAAAAGCUCGUAGUUGAAUUUCGGGACCAAUAUGUCGGUCGUGCCUCGGUACGUACUGGCAUUAUCGGUUUCUCCCUUCUGAAGAACCUUGAUGUCAUUAAUUUGGUGUCUUGGGAAAUCAGGACUGUUACUUUGAAAAAAUUAGAGUGUUUAAAGCAGGCUCGCGCUUGAAUACAUUAGCAUGGAAUAAUGAAAUAGGACGGACUGAUUCUAUUUCGUUGGUUUCUAGGAUCACCGUAAUGAUUAAUAGGGAUAGUUGGGGGCAUUAGUAUUCAAUUGUCAGAGGUGAAAUUCUUGGAUUUAUUGAAGACUAACUACUGCGAAAGCAUUUGCCAAGGAUGUUUUCAUUAAUCAAGAACGAAAGUUAGGGGAUCGAAGACGAUCAGAUACCGUCGUAGUCUUAACCAUAAACUAUGCCGACUAGGGAUCGGACGAAGUUAAUUUUAUAAUGACGCGUUCGGCACCUUACGGGAAACCAAAGUGUUUGGGUUC